GCCUCUGUAGCUCAAUUGGUUAGAGCGCUGCUCCGGAAUCGCAGGGCCGUAGGUUCAAUUCCUACCAGAGGAC
RNAcentral lists this transfer RNA (73 nucleotides) under Paramuricea clavata. It matches the Rfam family "tRNA". From Rfam's summary of the family: Transfer RNA (tRNA) molecules are approximately 80 nucleotides in length. Their secondary structure includes four short double-helical elements and three loops (D, anti-codon, and T loops). Lineage: Eukaryota; Metazoa; Cnidaria; Anthozoa; Malacalcyonacea; Plexauridae. The record is from Rfam by way of RNAcentral.